Molecule: ribosomal RNA, 305 nt
Filed under: uncultured bacterium
Lineage: Bacteria
Description: bacterial SSU rRNA
Rfam family: Bacterial small subunit ribosomal RNA
Source: RNAcentral
GCCUACGGGGCGCAGCAGUAGGGAAUUUUCGUCAAUGGGCGCAAGCCUGAACGAGCAAUGCCGCGUGAACGAGGAAGGUCUUCGGAUCGUAAAGUUCUGUUGAAGGGGAAAAAGAGCGGAGAGAGGAAAUGGUCUCCGAUUGAUAUUACCCUUCGAGGAAGUCACGGCUAACUACGUGCCAGCAGCCGCGGUAAUACGUAGGUGGCGAGCGUUAUCCGGAAUGAUUGGGCGUAAAGGGUGCGUAGGCGGCCUGCUAAGUCUGGAGUGAAAGGCACCGGCUCAACCGGUAAAGGCACUGGAAACUG